UCAUUUUGCGCCUGGUUCGGAGGGUCAAUCGGAGGGACAUGACCUCAAUAUCUCGGGGUUAUUUUCAUCGGCCUUAAUUUAACAUCGUAAGGUUCUGUUCUGCAUCAGGCCAUAUCUUUAGGCAAAAUAAUAUUUUAAACUCAAAAAUAUGCACAUUUGUGGAUCAUAAUCAGUAAUAGCAAUCAGAUAGUGUAACGGCGUAUCAUAAACCAACAAGAAUCAAUGGUAAACAAAUUAGUGCCGCCAACUGACGAUCCAACGAGCAACAAACCCAAAAUAAUGAAUAAGCUUCAGAGAAAAUGGUGGAAAUUAAUAGCAAAAAUGAAAGCAAAAUUCUUGCAUCAAUAGCAAAUCCGCGGAGCAGCGGUCAAAGGACCAAAGACAAAGUCGCCGGAAUUGAUUCCGGCCAGAUCUUCACAUUUUUCGGCGUUAAAAUAAUAAAAUAUACCAAACGAUAUCAAGAUAGUGCUGCUUUGACGGCAAAUAGUGCCGGAACAACGACCAAACAAAAGCCUAACGAGUCGCCGGAGUUAACUUCAUUUCCGGCCAGAUCUUGUUAGAUUCGGCCUGAUUCUGAUGGGUUUGACACCUACAAAGUAGAAGAGAGUUAAAAGAAAAUAGAGAGUGAGGAGCGACGAGGAUGGGGAGUGAAGCAACAGUGGUGGGCGGCCGUUUUCCGACCAAUGACCACCGGUAGUAGCGCGGGGAGAGGAGGAGGCAGCGAGAAAUGGAGUAAGGGAGAGGGGAAGAAGAUAGGGGAGCAGUUAUGGUGUAAAGGUGGUUGCCAGUCGGUCGGUGACCAAUUCCGGUGGCGGCAGUGGAGGCAAGGAGGGUUGAGAGAGGUGGGGGUAACGACUGCCAAUGGAGUAGGGGUCGGCAUAAUACCGGUCGAACCGUGAAUUUCGAUUUUUCGAUUUCGGUUUAAGCGGUUAUUCGGUCGGUGCACGAUUUUUAAAUUAUUAAAUUUUGAUUUUUCGAUACGGUUUACGGUUUUGGUAUUUCGAUUUUCGAUUAAACCGAAAAAUCAAAAUUUUGGGUAUUAGUUGAGAAAAAUAGGUUUGAACAUAUGAGUUCUUUUGAGAGUCCAAAACUUAAGGCUGAAGCCCAAUAGUCCAAUACCCAUUUGAAGCACACCCAAUUUAUCCAAACCUAAGACUUAAUCACUUAGUGACUUACUCUUACCGACUUACGUUCCCACCUUAGAAUUAGAAAUCAAAAAUUAGAUUUAGGGUUCCUCUAGUCCUCUCACCUCAGUGCGACUGCUGCAGUGUUGCCGACGCCCGAUUGUGACGCCUUCUUCCUCAGCUCGUCGCUCAUCCUUCUUCCUCAGGUUAGUGUGACUUCUUCUGAGUUCCUUUUCAGUUUUCUUCCUCAACUCAUUCGAUUUUGGUGUAGAUCUUGUACCUUUUGGUGUACCUUUUAGAGUUUGCUCAUCAAUUAUUUGAUGUAAAAUUUGGUUAUGCCCUUCACUGGAAACAUGUUCACUAGAAAUUUGAUGUAAAAUUUUGGUGUACCUUUUAGAGUUCGCUCAUCAAUUUCGUGUUUUGUGCUCACUGGAAACAUAUUUUGGUUGGGUUUUGAUUGAACUCUGGUUGGGCUUGAAACUUGGUUUGUAGUUAGGCUUUAUCUGAUUUAUAAAUUUUUACCUUAUUAAAAAAAAUAUUUGUUAUAGGUGUUCCGACCUUAAUUCCGUUUUCAUUCGAUUUUUUAUAGAUGGCAGAAUUUGAAAGUAGAGUAAGUGAGGUGGGUUCAUCUAAAAGCGAACCUACUUCUUUACCUACAAAUUCUGUUGAAACUAGUCAAGGCCUAAAAAUAAGAAAAUCCGUACAAUAUAGAUCAACUGCUUGGGAUCAUUUUGAAAAGUUUAAAGAUGAUAAUGGAGGUGAUAGAGCAAAGUGUAAACAUUGUGGUUGUGAUUAUAAGCUGAUUCACGUGUUGCAUCGGAAUGUGCAUUUAGCACCAGUGGCAGCAUUCUUGAUUCAUUUAGGAGUUCAUUGACUCCUCGGUUGGUGCAAAGUCAUGUUUGUGUUCAAGAUUGGUUUAGAUGUGAGGGUACUCCUAUUAAUGUUGAAGAAGGUUUGGAGUUUCUUGAGCAAAUUGAACUUGGUAAGAUUUUGCGUUUUAUGAGUGUUUUAGUGAAAAUUAGUUUACUUUGUAAGUUUAAAUGACACACUUUAUCAAAUUAUAUUUAGAUAUGGCAACGAGCGAAAGAGAAACUUGCAUUGUUGAAAGAGAUACUAGCAUUGUUGAUGCAUAGUUUGAACAAGUGUUCAACUAUGCCUCGUGGUCCUAAAGCUAGAUCGCGUAUUUGGGAACAUUUUGAGCUAGUUGAAGUAAAUGAAGAAGCCCGCAAAGCAAAGUGCCUUUAUUGUGGUCGAGUUUAUAAUUGUCAUCCAAAGUAUUAUGACACUUUUGGCUUAGUGAAGCACAUUAAGAAGUGUCUCAUGCCUCAUUCAGUGAUUCGUAUUUAAGACUUUAAGUAUCCUUUUCUAGACUUACUUUGUGGCUUGUGGGUUGUGACUAGUUUGCCACUCUUUUGUUGUUUGGUGAUGGUAUUUCUAGACUUGUUUUAGACUUUGGUAGCUGCGAGAUUUAGCACAGUGUUUGCUGAACUGUGCGAUAUUUUACUACUUGGAUGUUUGACGUUGUUAAUUGUUAUAUUGUGAAAUCCUGUUGUGUUCUGUUUGGACUUGAAAGGUUAGCUUGUUUGUGAAAUUCAGUGAUUCGUAUA
Molecule: long non-coding RNA, 2731 nt
Organism: Nicotiana tabacum (common tobacco)
Lineage: Eukaryota; Viridiplantae; Streptophyta; Magnoliopsida; Solanales; Solanaceae
Source: RefSeq, a predicted model, not a curated record